RNAcentral lists this ribosomal RNA (497 nucleotides) under uncultured bacterium. RNAcentral's name for it is "partial 16S ribosomal RNA". It matches the Rfam family "Bacterial small subunit ribosomal RNA", at positions 28 to 507 of the family's 1533-position model. The record is from RNAcentral.
GAUGAACGCUGGCGGCGUGCCUAAUACAUGCAAGUCGAACGAAAAGGCCCGGAGCUUGCGCGUCUGACGUUUGGCGCGGGGGGGAGUGUCACGCGUGUAUAACCUAACUCUCAGACUGGGAUAAUCUCGGGAAACCGGAUCUUAUACCCGAUAAUAUAUUGCACCACAUUGGGCACUAGUUAGAUUCGGCUUUUCGGUCACUACUAGCGGGAUCCGCGCCGCAUUAGCUAGUUGGUGAGGUAACGGCUUACCAAGGCGACGACGCGUAGGCGAGCUGAGAGGGUGAUCGGCCACACUGGAACUGAGACACGGUCCAGACUCCUACGGGAGGCAGCAGUAGGGAAUCUUCCGCAAUGGGCGAGAGCUUGACGGAGCAACGCCGCGUGAGUGAUGAAGGUCUUCGGAUCGUAAAGCUCUGUUAUUAGGGAAGAACAAAUGUGUAAGUAACCAUGCACGUCUUGACGGUACCUAAUCAGAAAGCCACGGCUAACUACGUG